This 397-nucleotide ribosomal RNA is filed under the name uncultured bacterium. RNAcentral's name for it is "partial 16S ribosomal RNA". It matches the Rfam family "Bacterial small subunit ribosomal RNA", at positions 523 to 918 of the family's 1533-position model. The record is from RNAcentral.
AUACGUAGGGGGCGAGCGUUGUCCGGAAUGAUUGGGCGUAAAGGGCGCGUAGGCGGCCUGUUAAGUCUGGAGUGAAAGUCCUGUUUUCAAGAUGGGAAUUGCUUUGGAUACUGAUGGGCUUGAGUGCAGGAGAGGUUAUCGGAAUUCCCGGUGUAGCGGUGAAAUGCGUAGAGAUCGGGAGGAACACCAGUGGCGAAGGCGGGUAACUGGACUGCAACUGACGCUGAGGCGCGAAAGUGUGGGGAGCAAACAGGAUUAGAUACCCUGGUAGUCCACACUGUAAACGAUGAAUGCUAGGUGUAGGGGGUAUCGACUCCCUCUGUGCCGCAGUUAACACAAUAAGUAUUCCGCCUGGGGAGUACGGCCGCAAGGUUGAAACUCAAAGGAAUUGACGGGG